GUAGGUGGCAAGCGUUGUCCGGAAUUAUUGGGCGUAAAGCGCGCGCAGGCGGGUCCUUUAAGUCUGAUGUGAAAGCCCACGGGCUCAACCGUGGAGGGUCAUUGGAAACUGGGGGACUUGAGUACAGAAGAGGAAAGCGGAAUUCCAAGUGUAGCGGCGAAAUGCGUAGAGAUUUGGAGGAACACCAGUGGCGAAGGCGGCUUUCUGGUCUGUAACUGACGCUGAGGCGCGAAAGCGUGGGGAGCAAACAGGAUUAGAUACCCUGGUAGUCCACGCCGUAAACGAUGAGUGCUAAGUGUUAGGGGGUUUCCGCCCCUUAGUGCUGCAGCUAACGCAUUAAGCACUCCGCCUGGGGAGUACGGCCGCAAAGGCUG
This 374-nucleotide ribosomal RNA is filed under the name uncultured organism. RNAcentral describes it as "partial 16S ribosomal RNA". It matches the Rfam family "Bacterial small subunit ribosomal RNA", at positions 527 to 896 of the family's 1533-position model. The record is from RNAcentral.